CCAGAGGGAGGGAGAAAGGGAGGAGAGGGGGGAGCUGUGUCUGGGAAGGCGAGACUGAGACGGGAGCCAAUCAGAGAGCAGAGUCAGCUUUGUCUUCUUUGAGGUAGAGCAUCCUCUGAUUGUGUGAGGGUGAAGCUGCGCCUGGGAAGCAGGGCUCCGCUACACCUCCGAGAGGGUGCUGGCUUCUUUCUUUCCUUCUUUCUUUUUCUGUUUUUCUUUUCUUUUAUGUGCUCAGUGGGUCAAAAUAUUGGGAAGGACAGGUGAAUUUAAUGAUCAGUGCCAAAAUAUAGUUCUGCUUCUCUAGACACCAGUGUAUUUAGAUCAGCACAAAGGUGAUGCGCUAAAUGAAAGCAUAGAUCCGGAGCCACUCAGCCAGAGAGAAAAAGGGAAAAUAGAGUCAGGGGCGUUUAGGGUUGGAGUCGCAGGCGGAGGUGGAGGCGAGGCGGAAGCCCAAGGCGAUUCUGAGCCCUAGGCGAUUCUGUGUCAUAGAAAUAUUGUACAGCCUGGAGCAGAACUGAUGCUUUGAAUGAAAACAUUGGUCUUCAAAGAACCUGACCAUCGUGGAAGGUGCCAGGACAGUGUCCCAUUUAUCUGAAAACAAAAAGGAAAAAAAGUAAGAAAACAAAAUCUUGUAGCAACUGCUGUCCCUUCAUCAGGGUUCCAGGACAGUGCCUCAUUUACCUGAAAAAAUAAGAAAAAAAAGAAGGAAAAGAAAAACUUGCAACAGCGUGCAAUCCCUUCAUCAGGUUAUAGCUGGAAAGGUUCUGACAACACAAGUCCUCAGCUCUGAUAGCAACUUUAGAAUGAAAAAUGUCAUAAAAGCACAGCACUGAUGUUUUGAAUGAAAAUCCAGGUCUUCAAACACCCACACAAUAAGGACAGAAAAGAAGGAAAAGAAAAACUUAUAAUACUCCGUAAUCCAUUCAGUAUGGACGGAACCAAGAUGGCGGAUUAGGGACAGCUGCCCAACUGAACUCUCCCAACAUUCCCCUGCAAUCAACUUUAAAAUAACAUCUCAAAUCAAAUUUUGGAGCAGCAGAGCCAACAAAAGGUUGGGGUGAGACAUUUUUCGGGACUAAGAAAACCUAAGUGGUUAGCAGAACUUUGUGACACUUGGGGUGGAAGCCUAUUUGAAGCUCUGACAGGUGGUGACAGCCUCAGUGUCCAAAACACUAGUUUAAGGAGCUCUUAGUCCAAAGACAAUAAGGGGGUUGGACAAUUCAUCAGAAAGAGAUUACAGAAGACCCUUUGCUGGUGCUGGUGUUGGUGCUGGUGUGUGGAGCUGAUUGGCAACUUUAUUAUUUAUACUCAAUUCUGGGCCACAAUUCCAGGGUGGAGAGGAGCCCUGGUGGUUGGUUACAAGGGAGCAAGGGCCCUAGUCACAGUUCUAAAGCAAAUAGGAGUUCUAGCUCUUGUGGCUGAAGGAGACUAGGGUUGUUUCCUGGAUAAAGGUCAGAGCAUAGAGUAGGAAAGCAGUGACCACACUUCUCCCAGGAUCAUACCAGCUUGGAAGCACCAAAAAAUUGCAGAUUCCCAGAACUAGGUCUUAAAACAGCGGCACAAAAAAGCUUGGAGCUUGGCACAGUGCUUCCCCACUGUAGCAUAAAAUUCAAAACCAAGAAUUAGUGUGAGGGAAUGAGCAAACAGAAAAAGAGCUUCACCAUAAGAAAUUCUCACGCUGGAAGAGAAGACCACGACAGAAAGGGAGAAGAAGACUACAAUAUGAAAUCUGCUUCAAAAAAAGGCUCCAAGAAAAAUGCUAACUGGUCUCAUCCUGACCAAGAUUUUAUGGAUGAGCUAAAAAAGGAGGUAAGAGUGGUAGAGGAAAAAUUGGGAAAAGAAA
Molecule: non-coding RNA, 1843 nt
Organism: Phascolarctos cinereus (koala)
Lineage: Eukaryota; Metazoa; Chordata; Mammalia; Diprotodontia; Phascolarctidae
Source: RefSeq, a predicted model, not a curated record